UGGGUAACCUGCCCUUCACUCUGGGAUAACUCCGGGAAACCGGGGCUAAUACUGGAUAUGACUCGAACAGGCAUCUGUUUCGGGUGGAAAGAUUUAUUGGUGGAGGAUGGACUCGCGGCCUAUCAGCUUGUUGGUGAGGUAAUGGCUCACCAAGGCGACGGACGGGUAGCCGGCCUGAGAGGGCGAUCGGCCACACGUGGGACUGAGACACGGCCCAGACCUCCGUACGGGAGCA
Molecule: ribosomal RNA, 235 nt
Filed under: uncultured bacterium
Lineage: Bacteria
Description: partial 16S ribosomal RNA
Rfam family: Bacterial small subunit ribosomal RNA
Source: RNAcentral